GACGAACGCUGGCGGCGUGCUUAACACAUGCAAGUCGAACGGAAAGGCCCUGCUUUUGUGGGGUGCUCGAGUGGCGAACGGGUGAGUAACACGUGAGUAACCUGCCCUUGACUUUGGGAUAACUUCAGGAAACUGGGGCUAAUACCGGAUAGGAGCUCCUGCUGCAUGGUGGGGGUUGGAAAGUUUCGGCGGUUGGGGAUGGACUCGCGGCUUAUCAGCUUGUUGGUGGGGUAGUGGCUUACCAAGGCUUUGACGGGUAGCCGGCCUGAGAGGGUGACCAGCCACAUUGGGACUGAGAUACGGACCAGACUCAUACGGGAGGCAGCAGUGGGAAAUAUUGCACAAUGGGAGGAAGCCUGAUGCAGCAACGCCGCGUGCGGGAUGACGGCCUUCGGGUUGUAAACCGCUUUCGCCUGUGACGAAGCGUGAGUGACGGUAAUGGGUAAAGAAGCACCGGCUAACUACGUG
This 468-nucleotide ribosomal RNA is filed under the name uncultured bacterium. RNAcentral describes it as "partial 16S ribosomal RNA". It matches the Rfam family "Bacterial small subunit ribosomal RNA", at positions 28 to 507 of the family's 1533-position model. The record is from RNAcentral.